UUGUACUCAUCUAUUUAAUCUAGUUCUGCCACUUCUUCUUGAACUUCUUGUUAGUUUUCAAGUCUGUAUUUUGUGUCCGUGAUAGUUUGUCGAGACUGCACUAACUUGAGAUAUCAGAGCUAGUUCUUUCUUAGUAGAGUGUGGAUUAUCCCUCUUCUUGAAGGUAUACUAGCAUUUUUAGAGGUUGCGGAUUACCUUUCUCU
This 203-nucleotide long non-coding RNA is filed under the name Physcomitrium patens. RNAcentral's name for it is "long non-coding RNA (PPAT_LNC013343)". Lineage: Eukaryota; Viridiplantae; Streptophyta; Bryopsida; Funariales; Funariaceae. The record is from RNAcentral.